GUUAGGUAUCUUCCUUUACUGGCAGCUACAUUCAGUUUUCCUCAAAGCCUUGGGAUCCUAGGAGGCAGGCCUGGAGCCUCGACCUACAUUGUCGGCGUGCAGGAUGAUCAAGCCUUUUAUCUUGAUCCACAUGAAGUUCAGCCAGUAAUUGUUUCUUUCCUUUUUAUUGGGUGGCAGACCUGGAGCCUCGACCUACAUUGUCGGCGUGCAGGAUGAUCAAGCCUUUUAUCUUGAUCCACAUGAAGUGCAGCCAGUAAUUCUUGCUUUCUUUUUUAUUGUAUUUAUGCCAUUUCACACAUACUGAUUGAAAUUUCAAUAAUUUAUUACUACUUACAAUCUAGGGUUAAUUGGCGAUCCUUAAAAUCAAACUUUCCAUGUUUAGAUGUUAUAGAUGGAAAUCAGCUUCUUUCCGUGCUGGCUGACUUCAACAAUCUAUCAAUAAUUACCACAUCAAGAAUGUCAUAAUUGUUUGGUCUUUGUUACCUUUUUUAUGCUUAUUAAGAUUUGAAGUUUUUUCCAUUUGAUUCAUUUGUGUGGAGAAAAUUGGUGGAUUUUAUGUAGCACCGCAAUCUGGUUUUUAUAGGUCGGCUUUUGCCCGGAAUCCGUCAUUUUUUGUAUUAGGGAUGAUGUCAUCCAAUAUAUUCGAAAGCAGCAGCAUUCAGUAUGGGAUGGUAUAAGAAGCACCCGAAUGAAAUAAAAAAAAUCAUUUGGCUUUUAAAGUUCGAUUUAAGGGUUCUUAUU
Molecule: long non-coding RNA, 741 nt
Filed under: Nicotiana benthamiana
Lineage: Eukaryota; Viridiplantae; Streptophyta; Magnoliopsida; Solanales; Solanaceae
Description: long non-coding RNA (NBEN_LNC038522)
Source: RNAcentral